RNAcentral lists this ribosomal RNA (253 nucleotides) under uncultured bacterium. RNAcentral's name for it is "partial 16S ribosomal RNA". It matches the Rfam family "Bacterial small subunit ribosomal RNA", at positions 524 to 776 of the family's 1533-position model. The record is from RNAcentral.
UACGGAGGGUGCGAGCGUUGUCCGGAAUCACUGGGCGUAAAGGGCGCGUAGGCGGCUCAUGAAGGCUGUGGUGAAAGUCCGGGGCUCAACCUCGGAUCGGCCGUGGCGACUCGUGGGCUGGAGCACUGUAGAGGCGGGUGGAAUUCCCGGUGUAGUGGUGGAAUGCGUAGAUAUCGGGGGGAACACCAGUGGCGAAGGCGGUUGCCUGGAGCUUUGCUGACGCUGAUGCGCGAAAGCGUGGGGAGCGAUCCGG